AUACGGAGGGUCCGAGCGUUAUCCGGAAUCAUUGGGUUUAAAGGGUCCGUAGGCGGGAAUCUAAGUCAGUGGUGAAAUCUUGCAGCUCAACUGUAAAAUUGCCAUUGAUACUGGAUUUCUUGAAUUAGUGUGAAGUGGUUAGAAUGUGUAGUGUAGCGGUGAAAUGCAUAGAUAUUUCACAGAAUACCAAUUGCGAAGGCAGAUCACUAACACUAUAUUGACGCUAAGGGACGAAAGCGUGGGGAGCGAACAGGAUUAGAAACCCGAGUAGUCC
RNAcentral lists this ribosomal RNA (274 nucleotides) under uncultured bacterium. Its description in RNAcentral is "partial 16S ribosomal RNA". It matches the Rfam family "Bacterial small subunit ribosomal RNA", at positions 523 to 796 of the family's 1533-position model. The record is from RNAcentral.